AAAACCUAUAGCAAACAACUAAUACAAGCUCUAUCUAUAUCGACUUCAUCACCACCAUAACAAGAAGUAACAUCAUCUGUUUUUGCAUAUUUAACAUAUAUAAACUAUUUAUUCGUGUCAAUUUCCUGCGUAAGGAGAAAUUAACUAUAAAGUUGGAGUCUAAUUACAUAUCCUUUUGUGAAAAUCGUCAUGGACCCCCUUCUCAUAAUUUUGGCGUGCUACGCCAUCCUCCUGUUGUUCUUCGGCUUGUGGAGUUUUAGCUUAAUGGCGAGAGAUAAAAGGGCCGUAGAAAGUCGUAUGUGGCGAAUUUCUGAGUGUAAACUCCACACCCUGGAACUUUUCGGAGGAUGGUUUGGAAGUCUGAUGGCGCAGGUCUGUUACCGUCACAAGAAUAAGAAAUGUUCGUAUCAGAUAAUUUUUUGGAUUAUUGUCGCUGCUCACGUGGCUGGAAUGGGUGCCGUGUUUUUUGGAAGGGAUAAAAUCAGGGAUUUUUUCGGGAAAAGUGCACAGUGAUAAAUGGAAACAUCUGCUAAAAUUACUGAUGUUUUCACGCUUCAUAACGUAUAAUAAAUGAUUUUUCAAAAUUGAAUAAAUUCUAGUUUUUUGUAAUAAAGAACUUAUUAAUGCGA
This is a long non-coding RNA of Folsomia candida, 629 nucleotides long. RefSeq lists it as uncharacterized. Lineage: Eukaryota; Metazoa; Arthropoda; Collembola; Entomobryomorpha; Isotomidae. The transcript is spliced from 2 exons. The record is from RefSeq and is a predicted model, not a curated record.